GCCAGGCAUGGUGGCUCAUGCCUGUAAUUCCAGUGACUCUGGAGGCUGAGGCAGGAGGAUCACAGGUUUAAGGCCAGUCUCAGAAAUUUAGUGAGACCCUGUCUUAA
RNAcentral lists this small RNA (107 nucleotides) under Marmota monax (woodchuck). The record is from RNAcentral. Lineage: Eukaryota; Metazoa; Chordata; Mammalia; Rodentia; Sciuridae.